Long non-coding RNA from Homo sapiens (human), 1506 nucleotides. RefSeq annotates it as OTULIN divergent transcript. The record is from RefSeq and is marked validated. The transcript has a single exon. NCBI's taxonomy places the organism in Eukaryota, Metazoa, Chordata, Mammalia, Primates, Hominidae.
ACACGUGUGCGGGCUGAGUCGCCGGGGCCUGGAGGGGGAACCGCGCGCUGCGGCUGCUGCGCUUGCUCCGUCCCCGGACGCCGCUGGCUUGCUUCCCUUGUCAGCUGUGUGGGGACUGGCAGAGGGUGUGAGAGCGGGAAACGACCGGACGAGCGGCGGGGAGCGUCCUGGGUGAGGAGGAGGAAGUCUGGUCUUAGGUGUGAAGGAUGCUGACGCGUUCCGGCGCGUCGCGGUGCCACUCUCGGCUUCUGAGCGUUGCCCUACGCCGCAGCGGGUUUUCCUCAGCUGUGAAGCGCGGCUGCGUCCUGCCCGGGCUUCCCCCCGCCGGGACGGUUCCAACGCCCGAGCCCAGCGGGCUUGGGCCUCCGCUGUCGGGCCAGGCUAGUUGCUCCGGGGCUGGGAGUUACGGCACCGGGGUUGGGGCGGAGAAGACGAACUAGUUCAACUCGACCCGGUUAAGCAAGCGCAGCAGUGUGUGUUCUUGGAUCAUAGUAUUUCAUGUAAACAUUUUGAUUUAAGAGAAACAAAAGGGAAAAUAUUAACCGUUUUCAAGCAUCCAAAGGCGAAAUGCUUCAUCUCUGGGAUGGAGUAGAGGAGUAGCCUCUGCGGUUGAGUUGCAGUCGUGGGUGCAAGAAGCAGCGCUGAAGCAGAGUGCAGCCCCGGAAUAGGGCGGGAUGGAAUGGCCUGGGCAGUUCAGAAACCCGCGAGGAGUCCAGGGCGGAACAGGUAGGGAGCAGGGGAUUGUAUUGAAAGAUGAAACUGAAAGAGGGGUAGUGGAGACCAGAUCAUGAAAAGCCAUAUUAGGCUAACUGUGGCGCUUAUGCUUAAUCCUCAUUGACAGAUCUUGAGAUCAUUUUGAAAAAUCACUUUGUCUUCAGUUUGGUAAAAGUUUGGAGAAGGGCAGGACUUGGAAGACCAGCUUAGGGAGACUAAAUAGUAGUGACCUCCAAGGGAGAAACUGGACAGAAAGAAUAUUUAUAUUUAGUGCCACAGAACUCCGGGGGUAUUGUUUUCUCCUUUAAUUUUACUUGAAAAAGUAAUAAAUGCACAUACUAAAAAAUUCAGAGUGUACAAAAGAAUAUACAAAGACUAUUAAGGUGUGGGAUUGAGGAGGGUUGAACAGGAUCCCCCAAAAUUCACGUCCACCUAGACCCUCACGAUAUUAACUUACUUGGAAAUAGGGUUUUUGCAGAUGUAAUUGGUUAAGAUGAGGUCAUACUGGUAUAGAAUGAGCCCUAAAUCGAAUGGUUGGCGCCCUUAGAAGGGGACACAUAGAUAAAUGUGCACAGAGGGAAGAAGGCCAUUUGGAGAUAGAAGCAGGGAUUGGAGUGAUGCAACUGGAAGCCAAGAAACGCCGCAGAAUGCCAGGAGCCAGCAGAAGCUAAGAAAAGGCAAAGAAGGAUUAUUCCAAAGUGCCUUCCGAAGAAGGUUGGCCCUGCCAAAAACCUGAUUUCAGACUUCUAGCCCCCAAAACUGCAAGAGAAUAAAUUUUGUUGUUUCAAGACA